GAUCAUGGCUCAGGACGAACGCUGGCGGCGUGCUUAACACAUGCAAGUCGAACGGAGUGUAGCAAUACACUUAGUGGCGGACGGGUGAGUAACACGUGAGCAACCUGCCCUAUACAACGGGAUAACACAGAGAAAUUUGUGCUAAUACGGUAUAAGACCACACUGCGGCAUCGCAGAGGGGUAAAAGCUGAGGCGGUAUAGGAGGGGCUCGCGGCCCAUUAGAUAGUUGGUGAGGUAACGG
RNAcentral lists this ribosomal RNA (241 nucleotides) under uncultured bacterium. RNAcentral's name for it is "partial 16S ribosomal RNA". It matches the Rfam family "Bacterial small subunit ribosomal RNA", at positions 15 to 263 of the family's 1533-position model. The record is from RNAcentral.